CACAGGUCAAAUCUGACUCAGGAAGAAAACUUCUUACUAUGAUUUGAGCCUCCUCUCUUGCCUCUCUCCCCUGGCUCACUUUAGCGUUCUUGGCUUCCUUUCAGUUCUAUGGGCAAGCCAGGCUCUUUCCCGCUGCCAGGACGUUGUGUGUGCUGUUCCUGUUACCUGGGCCGCUCUUUCCUGCUUACUUUGCCAAGCUAGUUACCUCCUAUCCUUCAGGAAUCUGCUGAAGCAUCAUGUCCUUAGAGGUCUGGUUACUUCCUGCUCUGCUCCAGUUGUUCUCAAUCUCAGUGUGAUUGCUUCCUUCUCAAUUCUUGCUAUGAUAAACAACUAAUGUAUUUACUCAUUUUUUGUCAUCCGCUUUCCUCACCAAAACACAGGCUCCCUGAUGGCAGAGGUAUCAUCUGUCCUCCUUGUCCCUAUAUCUCCAGGAGCUGGCGAUAUUAAAUGUUCAAUGUUUGUUGAAUAUAUUAAAUUAAACCUUUCCCAAAUUUCCACCACAAUACAUUUUUUAACUUUUCAUUUUGAAAUAAUUAUACACUCAUCAGAAGUUGCAAAGAUAAUACAAAUGAGUCCCAUAUACUCAUCACCCAGCUUCCCCUGUUGUAACCUCUUACAUCAGACUAGCACAAUAUUAAUACCAGAAGGUGCAGCAGGCUCUCCCUCCCUUUUACUUUAAUGGUGGGUGAUUUCAACAGGCAACUGUUAUUUGCUUAAUGUAAUCCUUCGCUAUUUUAUAUUUUGGGACAUUUUAUCUCCCCUUUUCUGAUGCUUCCUUCAAGGACAACAUCAGCUUUUUCAGCACAUGGUGAGCACCUUGUAAUACACUUAAUUCUUAAGAUAGUGAACUGGAAUGUGAUCAGAAAGCUACUUUUUUUUUUUUUCAGGCAAAAGAAAAAAAAAAAAAAAAAAAAAAAAAAAAAGAACACACCCUGGACUGCCCAUUGCCGAAUCACCUGAAGAGAGCCCUUCAAUUUUAACUAAUCAUUUUU
RNAcentral lists this long non-coding RNA (992 nucleotides) under Homo sapiens (human). Its description in RNAcentral is "HSALNT0384353". The record is from RNAcentral. Lineage: Eukaryota; Metazoa; Chordata; Mammalia; Primates; Hominidae.